RNAcentral lists this ribosomal RNA (497 nucleotides) under uncultured bacterium. RNAcentral's name for it is "partial 16S ribosomal RNA". It matches the Rfam family "Bacterial small subunit ribosomal RNA", at positions 28 to 507 of the family's 1533-position model. The record is from RNAcentral.
GAUGAACGCUGGCGGCGUGCCUAAUACAUGCAAGUCGAGCGAACAGACGAGAAGCUUGCUCCUCUGAUGUUAGCGGCGGACGGGUGAGUAACACGUGGAUAACCUACCUAUAAGACUGGGAUAACUUCGGGAAACCGGAGCUAAUACCGGAUAAUAUUUUGAACCGCAUGGUUCAAUAGUGAAAGACGGUUUUGCUGUCACUUAUAGAUGGAUCCGCGCUGCAUUAGCUAGUUGGUAAGGUAACGGCUUACCAAGGCAACGAUGCGUAGCCGACCUGAGAGGGUGAUCGGCCACACUGGAACUGAGACACGGUCCAGACUCCUACGGGAGGCAGCAGUAGGGAAUCUUCCGCAAUGGGCGAAAGCCUGACGGAGCAACGCCGCGUGAGUGAUGAAGGUCUUCGGAUCGUAAAACUCUGUUAUUAGGGAAGAACAAAUGUGUAAGUAACUAUGCACGUCUUGACGGUACCUAAUCAGAAAGCCACGGCUAACUACGUG